This 545-nucleotide ribosomal RNA is filed under the name uncultured delta proteobacterium. RNAcentral describes it as "bacterial SSU rRNA". It matches the Rfam family "Bacterial small subunit ribosomal RNA", at positions 38 to 561 of the family's 1533-position model. Lineage: Bacteria; Deltaproteobacteria. The record is from RNAcentral.
GGCGGCGUGCUUAACACAUGCAAGUCGAACGUGAUUCGGAGCUUGCUCCGAUGAAAGUGGCGCACGGGUGAGUAUCGCGUGGAUAACCUACCCUGGUGUCUGGGAUAACAUCUCGAAAGGGGUGCUAAUACCGGAUAAGCCCACGGGACCUUCGGGUUCUGCGGGAAAAGGAGGCCUCUAUUUAUAAGCUUUCGCAUCAUGAUGGGUCCGCGUACCAUUAGCUAGUUGGUGGGGUAAUGGCCUACCAAGGCUACGAUGGUUAGCUGGUCUGAGAGGAUGAUCAGCCACACUGGAACUGAGACACGGUCCAGACUCCUACGGGAGGCAGCAGUGGGGAAUUUUGCGCAAUGGGGGAAACCCUGACGCAGCAACGCCGCGUGAGUGAUGAAGGCUUUCGGGUCGUAAAGCUCUGUCAGUGGGGAAGAAAUGUGACUGGCUAAUAUCCAGUCAUCUUGACGGUACCCACAAAGGAAGCACCGGCUAACUCCGUGCCAGCAGCCGCGGUAAUACGGGGGGUGCAAGCGUUGUUCGGAUUUAUUGGGCGU